CCUCACAAACUGCAGAUCACUACGGAUUGGCCACAGGGGACCUGCCUGGGUUGCCAGGCAGGUCCCCUGUGGCCAAUCCGUAGUGAUCUGCAGUUUGUG
RNAcentral lists this microRNA precursor (99 nucleotides) under Pelobates cultripes (western spadefoot toad). Lineage: Eukaryota; Metazoa; Chordata; Amphibia; Anura; Pelobatidae. The record is from RNAcentral.